This 118-nucleotide non-coding RNA is filed under the name Fragilariopsis kerguelensis. The record is from RNAcentral. Lineage: Eukaryota; Bacillariophyta; Bacillariophyceae; Bacillariales; Bacillariaceae.
UGGAAUAAAGAAAUACAAAAGAGAAGGAAGAAGGAGAAGAAGAAGAAGGAAAAAAAUGAAUCCGGUUUGUCAUUGUUGUUCGUCAUCGUCGUCCUCCGUAUCCUCUUUAUUUCUUUAU